Molecule: ribosomal RNA, 261 nt
Filed under: Salmonella enterica subsp. diarizonae serovar 61:r:z
Lineage: Bacteria; Pseudomonadati; Pseudomonadota; Gammaproteobacteria; Enterobacterales; Enterobacteriaceae
Description: partial 23S ribosomal RNA
Rfam family: Bacterial large subunit ribosomal RNA
Source: RNAcentral
UUCUGUAAGCCGUUGAAGGUGUCCUGUGAGGGGUGCUGGAGGUAUCAGAAGUGCGAAUGCUGACAUAAGUAACGAUAAAGCGGGUGAAAAGCCCGCUCGCCGGAAGACCAAGGGUUCCUGUCCAACGUUAAUCGGGGCAGGGUGAGUCGACCCCUAAGGCGAGGCCGAAAGGCGUAGUCGAUGGGAAACGGGUUAAUAUUCCCGUACUUGGUGUUACUGCGAAGGGGGGACGGAGAAGGCUAUGUUGGCCGGGCGACGGUU